Molecule: long non-coding RNA, 759 nt
Organism: Danio aesculapii
Lineage: Eukaryota; Metazoa; Chordata; Actinopteri; Cypriniformes; Danionidae
Exons: 4
Source: RefSeq, a predicted model, not a curated record
CAGGAAUAGGGUUGGUGACCCCUGGUUUAGACCACGUCAGUGUUAGGCCUUAGUUCAAUUAGGACAUUUAAGUAGCUUUUAUAAACGUGUCUUAGAAAAAUACAUUACUGGUGUGCAUCUUCAGAUGAAACAUCGAAACUGACAUAUUUUAAGAUCUGCUAUCAGUGAGAUGUGAAGUUGUGUUGUUGUUAAUUUUUGUUCUUAUUUUCCUAAGCAGAUUCUGUCAUUUCACGGUGAACUACUCCCCUUCGGGAUGCCAUUAAUCACAUCCUUGCAGGAAGAGACGAGAAUUCAAAGUCAGAACUCAAAUAUAUGAAUCCAGUUAAAGAUACAGAAUUGAGAGCAGUCAGUCAUCCAAUCCCUCACCAAACUGAGCAUGAGGUGCAUUGUGUCUGAGGUCAGUGUGGCACUUCAUCUGCCAAAGAGGAAUUUGGAGAAGUUGGUGUCCAGCACCAGGAAGUGUCACCCGCUGUUCUUCUUCACAGACGUUACCAGUGAGGCCGAAUCAAGAUCAGCGGUUCAGUCACCCAGAGCUGCAACUCUGCUUGUUAGGCGAGUUUGAAUUUACCUUUGCUUUGACAUGGACCAGUGGUUGGAGUACUGUGAUGUUCCAUUAGAACACAUUUUCAGUGUUUUUAGUAGCUGUGGUGAAAAUGUCCUCUAUUCAGUAUGGAUGGUCUUUUCUAACCAUGGUGUCCCCCCAACACGUGUGUUUUCCUGUGUGUGCCACACACUGGACUUCAGUGGAAGAAUCAGGAU